Molecule: ribosomal RNA, 21 nt
Filed under: Cortinarius cf. decipiens
Lineage: Eukaryota; Fungi; Basidiomycota; Agaricomycetes; Agaricales; Cortinariaceae
Description: partial 25S ribosomal RNA
Source: RNAcentral
GGACCUCAAAUCAGGAGGACN